This 2085-nucleotide long non-coding RNA is filed under the name Homo sapiens (human). Its description in RNAcentral is "HSALNT0319329". Lineage: Eukaryota; Metazoa; Chordata; Mammalia; Primates; Hominidae. The record is from RNAcentral.
CCCACUUAACGUGGUGCCCAGGUGAUUCACAUGCACUGUGAAGUUUGAUCAAAUGCUCUGGAUUGCCCCUAAACCAAAGCAUCUCCAUCAAGUUUUCUACCUUGUCCUCUGGGGCAAAUAAGCAAGAAAAUAAUCUCUUUUCUCUCAGUUUCCUUAGGUUUUGAUUUCUCUAAGAAUAAGUACAUUGUAAUAUGAGGAAUUUGACAUAUGAUCUAGAAAUUAGAUUGCUAGAUUCAGCAAGUAUAAAUACGCAAUACCCAGUACAGUAUAAUUUCAGAUAAACGACACAGAAUUUUUCAGUAUAAGCAUAUCCAUAUGAUAUUUGGGACAUACUUAUGUUAAAUCCAGAGCAUGCAAUAUUUGGGACAUACACAGACUUAAAAAAUGUAUUGUUUAUGUGAAAUUCAACUUUAACUUGGUUUAAAAAAAUUCCACUAGGUAUCUUAUAUUUUAUCUGGUAAACCUAUCUAGAAAGGAUUGUUUGGGUUCCAUAUUUUCUGCUGAAACCUUCACAGGAUUUCUCCUUUUUAGGCACUACAGUUGUGAUGAGGCAAUUGCAACAUUUGAAAAGACCCCAGGGAGUUUGCAUUAAAUGCGUUUCACAAGAGUGAAUGAUGGAACAGAACACCAUGUACAAAGACACAGUCAUCCAACACCCAAGCACAAAUGGCACAAGUUAAACAUGUGACGGCUUGAUGUAUGACAGGAUUGGACCAGAUUAUCUCUACAAUUUCUUCCAGUGCAAACACUCUGUGAAUGAAGGCACUUGCCUUCUCUCUAAACUGGAAGCCUCUUGAGGGCAGGACUGCAUCUACCUCCUCUCUGUACCCCUGCAGCACCCAGUACAGUGCCCAGCAAUGGACUGGAACCAAACCAGCAGAGCAAAACCAGGUCUUCAUUCUAAUAAUUUCAAGGAAUGCCAGAGCUAACCUGAUGUUCACAAGAGAGCACUUACUGUAAAAAUAAUUUAGCCACAUGGAACCUUUGAAGACCAUGGUAACUCACUGGCCUUUCAGUGGCUUCUGUGUGCAAAGAAUGAACAGAUGGAGGAGAUAAAAGGAAAGUUUUUCUGGUGAAAACAGGGACCGCCUGGAGAACUAGCUAAAAUUCAUGUAAAAUGCCUGUCUGGAGAAAUUGCAAAAAUGCAAAAAAUUGCAAAAAUGAAGGUCAAAGGUUUUCUGUAAAGUUACAUUUUUUGUACAUUUUGUAAAUAGCUUAUCAGCAUCAUUCAGAUCUUCCUGACUAGUGGUUUUCAUUGCAUAAAACUGAAAAGUCCCUUUAAAGAGUUUAAACUGGAAAGUCAUCCAAGGGCUCUACAGUUUCUGGACAUAGCCCUGAGCACCUGUAGCUUACAAUUUAACCAGUCUUCUAGCUGAUGAGCAUAGGAGAAUUCUCAGAGCAAAAUCCCACCAGGAAAGCUCUGCUCCCAGCCAACCUUUCAAGUUGGCCAGUCUUUGAAAAUGACACUUAGCCUUUCAUGCCUCAGAUCCCUCUGGUAUGCUGUGUGUGUGCACAUGCAUGCACUCUUGCCAAUACCUAUCUGGUAACUCAGAGCCCCAGAGGAAAACAUCUUUCUCAUGAAGAACAUGUUGGUGGCAGAGCACUGCCAGCUUCUUGGGCUUUCUGUGGGUCCCUUCUAGGUAAGGGAUGGGGUGGGGUGGCAUGAAUAAACCCAUUACAACCCUCAGCCACAACCAGAGUCUGCUCCAGUAUGAGCUAGUUUUGAGCGCUCCAGGGGGUCUCUAGCUGUCCUUUUCUGAUCUUCCAUGGAACACAGUAGAGCAUGGGUGGGGAGACUACCCAUAACCAGUUAAUUAGUUGGUUAUGCUUUAUAUUAUCACCAGAGCAAACAUGAUUUCUUACAGCUCAGGGGAUAAUAAUGGCCAACUUCAGGUCCACAGUGAAACCACAGUGGUGGGACCCCAGGUUCUCAUUUCAAUUUCUAUCACUCCAGACACAUUCAUCAUUUCAAGUGAGUAAUAUUUAGGUUUGGGGCUUUGAAUCAGCUUUUGAAGACUGAUACUGCCCCCCUUUGUUUAAAAAAGAGUUUGCCUAUUUAAAAAUAAGGCUAUUUAGGCCAGGCAU